This 28-nucleotide non-coding RNA is filed under the name Mus musculus (house mouse). Lineage: Eukaryota; Metazoa; Chordata; Mammalia; Rodentia; Muridae. The record is from RNAcentral.
UUGUCAAAUUAACCAUGGGAAGAGAGGC